GGCCGCCUAGCGUAAUGGUUAACGCGCUAGUUUCCGGUGUUUGGGUAGCUAGAGAUUGUGGGUUCGAGUCCCAUGGUGGUCG
Molecule: transfer RNA, 82 nt
Filed under: Lentinula raphanica
Lineage: Eukaryota; Fungi; Basidiomycota; Agaricomycetes; Agaricales; Omphalotaceae
Description: tRNA-Arg
Rfam family: tRNA
About the family: Transfer RNA (tRNA) molecules are approximately 80 nucleotides in length. Their secondary structure includes four short double-helical elements and three loops (D, anti-codon, and T loops).
Source: RNAcentral